This 450-nucleotide ribosomal RNA is filed under the name uncultured organism. RNAcentral describes it as "partial 16S ribosomal RNA". It matches the Rfam family "Bacterial small subunit ribosomal RNA", at positions 332 to 798 of the family's 1533-position model. The record is from RNAcentral.
UACACUCCUGCGGGAGGCAGCAGUGGGGAAUAUUGGACAAUGGGCGCAAGCCUGAUCCAGCCAUGCCGCGUGAGUGAUGAAGGCCCUAGGGUUGUAAAGCUCUUUCACCGGAGAAGAUAAUGACGGUAUCCGGAGAAGAAGCCCCGGCUAACUUCGUGCCAGCAGCCGCGGUAAUACGAAGGGGGCUAGCGUUGUUCGGAAUUACUGGGCGUAAAGCGCACGUAGGCGGAUCGAUCAGUCAGGGGUGAAAUCCCAGGGCUCAACCCUGGAACUGCCUUUGAUACUGUCGAUCUGGAGUAUGGAAGAGGUGAGUGGAAUUCCGAGUGUAGAGGUGAAAUUCGUAGAUAUUCGGAGGAACACCAGUGGCGAAGGCGGCUCACUGGUCCAUUACUGACGCUGAGGUGCGAAAGCGUGGGGAGCAAACAGGAUUAGAAACCCUGGUAGUCCCAU